RNAcentral lists this ribosomal RNA (327 nucleotides) under uncultured Cryomonadida. Its description in RNAcentral is "bacterial SSU rRNA". It matches the Rfam family "Eukaryotic small subunit ribosomal RNA", at positions 629 to 955 of the family's 1831-position model. The record is from RNAcentral. Lineage: Eukaryota; Cercozoa; Thecofilosea.
GAUAUCUGCGCAGUAUUCACUCAGCCCAUCACAGUUAUGUGAUUGUGUGCCGGGUGUCAAUCUGCCAUCCUUCUAGUUUCUUAUUAUGAGAUGAAUAAUCGCAUUAUAAGUGACUAGAUCUUUUACUUUGAAAAAAUUAGAGUGUUUAAAGCAGGCUUUUUCGGCUAUGAAUAGAUUAGCAUGGAAUAAUAAUUUAGGACAUUGGUCUUAUUUUGUUGGUUUUUAGGAUCGAUGUAAAUCUUGAUAGGAACAGUUGGGGGUGCUAGUAUUCAGUGGCCAGAGGUGAAAUUCUUGGAUUCCCUGAAGACUAACUUAUGCGAAAGCAUU